CCAGGAUGUUGGCUUAGAAGCAGCCAUCAUUUAAAGAAAGCGUAAUAGCUCACUGGUCGAGUCGGCCUGCGCGGAAGAUGUAACGGGGCUAAACCAUGCACCGAAGCUGCGGCAGCGACACUGUGUGUUGUUGGGUAGGGGAGCGUUCUGUAAGCCUGUGAAGGUGUGUCGUGAGGCAUGCUGGAGGUAUCAGAAGUGCGAAUGCUGACAUAAGUAACGAUAAAGCGGGUGAAAAGCCCGCUCGCCGGAAGACCAAGGGUUCCUGUCCAACGUUAAUCGGGGCAGGGUGAGUCGACCCCUAAGGCGAGGCCGAAAGGCGUAGUCGAUGGGAAACGGGUUAAUAUUCCCGUACUUGGUGUUACUGCGAAGGGGGGACGGAGAAGGCUAUGUUGGCCGGGCGACGGUUGUCCCGGUUUAAGCGUGUAGGUGUGUGUUCCAGGUAAAUCCGGUUCACUUUAACACUGAGGCGUGACGACGAGGCACUACGGUGCUGAAGCAACAAAUGCCCUGCUUCCAGGAAAAGCCUCUAAGCAUCAGGUAACAUCAAAUCGUACCCCAAACCGACACAGGUGGUCAGGUAGAGAAUACCAAGGCGCUUGAGAGAACUCGGGUGAAGGAACUAGGCAAAAUGGUGCCGUAACUUCGGGAGAAGGCACGCUGACACGUAGGUGAAGUGAUUUACUCAUGGAGCUGAAGUCAGUCGAAGAUACCAGCUGGCUGCAACUGUUUAUUAAAAACACAGCACUGUGCAAACACGAAAGUGGACGUAUACGGUGUGACGCCUGCCCGGUGCCGGAAGGUUAAUUGAUGGGGUCAGCGCAAGCGAAGCUCCUGAUCGAAGCCCCGGUAAACGGCGGCCGUAACUAUAACGGUCCUAAGGUAGCGAAAUUCCUUGUCGGGUAAGUUCCGACCUGCACGAAUGGCGUAAUGAUGGCCAGGCUGUCUCCACCCGAGACUCAGUGAAAUUGAACUCGCUGUGAAGAUGCAGUGUACCCGCGGCAAGACGGAAAGACCCCGUGAACCUUUACUAUAGCUUGACACUGAACAUUGAGCCUUGAUGUGUAGGAUAGGUGGGAGGCUUUGAAGUGUGGACGCCAGUCUGCAUGGAGCCGACCUUGAAAUACCACCCUUUAAUGUUUGAUGUUCUAACGUGGACCCGUUACCCGGGUUGCGGACAGUGUCUGGUGGGUAGUUUGACUGGGGCGGUCUCCUCCUAAAGAGUAACGGAGGAGCACGAAGGUUGGCUAAUCCUGGUCGGACAUCAGGAGGUUAGUGCAAUGGCAUAAGCCAGCUUGACUGCGAGCGUGACGGCGCGAGCAGGUGCGAAAGCAGGUCAUAGUGAUCCGGUGGUUCUGAAUGGAAGGGCCAUCGCUCAACGGAUAAAAGGUACUCCGGGGAUAACAGGCUGAUACCGCCCAAGAGUUCAUAUCGACGGCGGUGUUUGGCACCUCGAUGUCGGCUCAUCACAUCCUGGGGCUGAAGUAGGUCCCAAGGGUAUGGCUGUUCGCCAUUUAAAGUGGUACGCGAGCUGGGUUUAGAACGUCGUGAGACAGUUCGGUCCCUAUCUGCCGUGGGCGCUGGAGAACUGAGGGGGGCUGCUCCUAGUACGAGAGGACCGGAGUGGACGCAUCACUGGUGUUCGGGUUGUCAUGCCAAUGGCACUGCCCGGUAGCUAAAUGCGGAAGAGAUAAGUGCUGAAAGCAUCUAAGCACGAAACUUGCCCCGA
RNAcentral lists this ribosomal RNA (1726 nucleotides) under Salmonella enterica. RNAcentral's name for it is "partial 23S ribosomal RNA". It matches the Rfam family "Bacterial large subunit ribosomal RNA", at positions 1093 to 2802 of the family's 2925-position model. Lineage: Bacteria; Pseudomonadati; Pseudomonadota; Gammaproteobacteria; Enterobacterales; Enterobacteriaceae. The record is from RNAcentral.